This is a non-coding RNA of Cyanistes caeruleus (blue tit), 881 nucleotides long. Lineage: Eukaryota; Metazoa; Chordata; Aves; Passeriformes; Paridae. The record is from RefSeq and is a predicted model, not a curated record.
CAAGCCCACGCAGAGCGAUGGCGCUCCGCGGCCGCUGUCACGGGGCCUGCCCGCUGCCACGGCGUGCGGAGCGGCAAGAAGCAGCAGAAAGGCAGAGGAACGGGGUUUGGGACGGUUCUCCCCCGCCACCCCGCCUGGCUGCAGCUGCUGAGAGUUAGUGCCGUGGUAUGAGCCAGUAAGAAGCCAGAAGGAAGGACUUGCAAGGGACUGGCAGGAAGAAACAGAGCUAAGAACAUUUGCCCAAAGCAAAGAAGCGGAGAGGGGGACAAUUUUAUUCCCUCAGUGCUGAGGACUGGCUUCUGCACUACCCACCGCAUAGCCUAACAAGCCUGAGCCCACAAGCAAGGAAGGGUUCUGUGGCAAGAUGCUCCUACUCUAAGGAAAGGAUAGCUCUUCCUGAGAUCUCUGAGUUACCAGUAAGUAUUUCUAAUCUGCUUUCAAUGUAAAUUGUCAGAACACAAAUAUGUGUGGGAAGCUCAGCAAGAUCCAUGUAGCUGGAAGAAAGACUAUCCUGUCACUGUCUGACUGUACAACUUUGUUAAGCCCACUGUGAGAACCAUCUCAUCUUCUCCAUGCAUAAAAAAAGUGAUGCCCAGUGCCUAUUGGUGUUGGCCAGAAAUGCUGGUACAGGGCUCUCUGUUCUCACAGGUAGGGAGCCAUGGAAAUUCUGCAAGUGCUAAGAGCCCAGCCAGUCAUGCUCUGCAUUUUAAACAAUGGCCAGUGAAAUUAACCCAACACAAUGCUUGUGCUGCACUGUGCAUGAUUGUACGGGCUUUCUUCUGCCUUCUGACACCCUAGUGACUGAGUGGCUAUGAAGUGUGACAGAGAAACCAGGUCCACUGGUGUGUGCUACAGCUGGCUGCAAGUCUGUGCUGCUGCCU